Clostridium acetobutylicum ATCC 824 is the source of this 103-nucleotide non-coding RNA. Lineage: Bacteria; Bacillati; Bacillota; Clostridia; Eubacteriales; Clostridiaceae. The record is from Rfam.
GAAUUGGGUCCCACGCAACGGAAAUUCAUGAACUCCGUCAGGUCCGGAAGGAAGCAGCGGUAAGUGAAAUCUUCCGUGUGCCGUGGAUAAAUCUGAUUUGAGU